RNAcentral lists this ribosomal RNA (509 nucleotides) under uncultured bacterium. RNAcentral describes it as "partial 16S ribosomal RNA". It matches the Rfam family "Bacterial small subunit ribosomal RNA", at positions 28 to 523 of the family's 1533-position model. The record is from RNAcentral.
GACGAACGCUGGCGGCGUGCUUAACACAUGCAAGUGGAGCGACGAACCAGGCUUCGGCCUGGGGCAAAGCCGCGAACGGGUGAGUAUCACGUGGGUAACGUGCCCCGAUGACCGGGACAACCAGGGGAAACCCUGGCUAAUACCGGAUGUGCUGUUCGGCCUCAAGGCCGAAUAGCAAAGGAAGCUUCGGCCUCCGCAUUGGGAGCGGCCCGCGGCCCAUUAGCUUGUUGGUGAGGUAACGGCUCACCAAGGCUGCGAUGGGUAGCUGGUCUGAGAGGACGAUCAGCCACACUGGGACUGAGACACGGCCCAGACUCCUACGGGAGGCAGCAGUGGGGAAUCUUGCGCAAUGCGCGAAAGCGUGACGCAGCAACGCCGCGUGAGGGAAGAAGGCCUUCGGGUUGUAAACCUCUUUCAGGAGGGACGAAGGUUCAGGCGCGAAUAGCGUCCUGGACUGACGGUACCUCCAGAAGAAGCCCCGGCUAACUACGUGCCAGCCGCCGCAGUAA